UUAAUGGCUUUUUUCAAGGCCAUACACUUAAGAGUGGAAUAGAUAU
Molecule: non-coding RNA, 46 nt
Organism: Phoenicopterus ruber ruber
Lineage: Eukaryota; Metazoa; Chordata; Aves; Phoenicopteriformes; Phoenicopteridae
Source: Rfam